GUUGGGCCUGCUCGGUGAGAAGAAAAAUUUAACAGCUGCGGUAUUAUAACUGUACUAAGGUAGCAUAAUAAUUUGCCUUAUAAAUUAAGGCUAGAAUGAAUGGUUUGACGAAAAUUAGACUGUCUUUAUUUUAUUUGUUAGAAAUUAAUUUUUAUAGUGAAAAAGCUUGAAUAAUUUAAGGGGACGAGAAGACCCUAUUGAGCUUUAUUUAUUAAUAUUUAAAUAUAAAUAUAUAAUUUAUAUUAUGAAAAUUAUGUUGUAUAUAUAUAUUUAAUUGAUUUAAUUUUGAUUGGGGUGAUCAAGGAAUAAAGAUAAAGUAACUUCCUUAAAAUUAAUGAUUGUUUUUAUAGAGUAAUAAACCAAGUUUUUUGCUUAUAAGAUAAGUUACCAUAGGGGUAACAGCGUAAUUUUUUUUGAGAGUUCAUAUUGAAAAAAGAGAUUGCGACCUCGAUGUUGGAUUAAAAAUUACCUUAAGG
Molecule: ribosomal RNA, 476 nt
Filed under: Callistoctopus minor (long arm octopus)
Lineage: Eukaryota; Metazoa; Mollusca; Cephalopoda; Octopoda; Octopodidae
Description: partial 16S ribosomal RNA
Rfam family: Bacterial large subunit ribosomal RNA
Source: RNAcentral